GAUGAACGCUGGCGGCGUGCCUAAUACAUGCAAGUCGAGCGAACGGACUAGAAGCUUGCUUCUCUGAUGUUAGCGGCGGACGGGUGAGUAACACGUGGAUAACCUACCUAUAAGACUGGGAUAACUUCGGGAAACCGGAGCUAAUACCGGAUAAUAUUUUGAACCGCAUGGUUCAAAAGUGAAAGACGGUCUUGCUGUCACCUAUAGAUGGAUCCGCGCUGCAUUAGCUAGUUGGUAAGGUAACGGCUUACCAAGGCAACGAUGCAUAGCCGACCUGAGAGGGUGAUCGGCCACACUGGAACUGAGACACGGUCCAGACUCCUACGGGAGGCAGCAGUAGGGAAUCUUCCGCAAUGGGCGAAAGCCUGACGGAGCAACGCCGCGUGAGUGAUGAAGGUCUUCGGAUCGUAAAACUCUGUUAUUAGGGAAGAACAUAUGUGUAAGUAACUGUGCACAUCUUGACGGUACCUAAUCAGAAAGCCACGGCUAACUACGUG
RNAcentral lists this ribosomal RNA (497 nucleotides) under uncultured bacterium. RNAcentral's name for it is "partial 16S ribosomal RNA". It matches the Rfam family "Bacterial small subunit ribosomal RNA", at positions 28 to 507 of the family's 1533-position model. The record is from RNAcentral.